This 804-nucleotide ribosomal RNA is filed under the name uncultured Acinetobacter sp. RNAcentral's name for it is "bacterial SSU rRNA". It matches the Rfam family "Bacterial small subunit ribosomal RNA", at positions 699 to 1502 of the family's 1533-position model. Lineage: Bacteria; Pseudomonadati; Pseudomonadota; Gammaproteobacteria; Moraxellales; Moraxellaceae. The record is from RNAcentral.
UGGAGGAAUACCGAUGGCGAAGGCAGCCAUCUGGCCUAAUACUGACGCUGAGGUACGAAAGCAUGGGGAGCAAACAGGAUUAGAUACCCUGGUAGUCCAUGCCGUAAACGAUGUCUACUAGCCGUUGGGGCCUUUGAGGCUUUAGUGGCGCAGCUAACGCGGUAAGUAGACCGCCUGGGGAGUACGGUCGCGAGACUAAAACUCAAAUGAAUUGACGGGGGCCCGCACAAGCGGUGGAGCAUGUGGUUUAAUUCGAUGCAACGCGAAGAACCUUACCUGGCCUUGUCAUACUAAGAACUUUCCAGAGAUGGAUUGGUGCCUUCGGGAACUUAGAUACAGGUGCUGCAUGGCUGUCGUCAGCUCGUGUCGUGAGAUGUUGGGUUAAGUCCCGCAACGAGCGCAACCCUUUUCCUUAUUUGCCAUCGGGUAAUGCCGGGAACUUUAAGGAUACUGCCAGUGACAAACUGGAGGAAGGCGGGGACGACGUCAAGUCAUCAUGGCCCUUACGGCCAGGGCUACACACGUGCUACAAUGGUCGGUACAAAGGGUUGCUACCUCGCGAGAGGAUGCUAAUCUCAAAAAGCCGAUCGUAGUCCGGAUCGCAGUCUGCAACUCGACUGCGUGAAGUCGGAAUCGCUAGUAAUCGCGGAUCAGAAUGCCGCGGUGAAUACGUUCCCGGGCCUUGUACACACCGCCCGUCACACCAUGGGAGUUUGUUGCACCAGAAGUAGGUAGUCUAACCGUAAGGAGGACGCUUACCACGGUGUGGCCGAUGACUGGGGUGAAGUCGUAACAAGGUAGCCG